CUGUUUAAUUUUCUUAUGUCUUGUAUUUUGUUCCUUUAAAUGUACUUUUGAACUAUGACCUUCUUUGGACCCCUAUGUUAUGUACUUGAAUGAGUGACGUUUAAAAAUUACUUCAUUAUUGCUAUUCCAAGUAUUUCUUGUUUCUUCGAAUUACUAACCACUAAUGAAACUCGAAUGAUUCCCUGAAAAUAAAAUAUGCAUAACAUCCGCAUUUUCAUUAUGCAUCACGCUUCAUGAAAAAAAAAAAAAAAACUUACCCAACCUUUUUACCC
This 272-nucleotide long non-coding RNA is filed under the name Lathyrus oleraceus (garden pea). RNAcentral describes it as "Pisum sativum (pea) long non-coding RNA (PSAT_LNC006622)". Lineage: Eukaryota; Viridiplantae; Streptophyta; Magnoliopsida; Fabales; Fabaceae. The record is from RNAcentral.